ACAUUCUACGUUGGCAGCGAGCUUAUGGAGGUGAAAGAAGCCAAACAGCAGAAUCAGCCAAACAGAAACAGAGGUGGAGGACGUCAUCACUCUUGGGUCUGUUGGAGCUCAGGUAAGCAGCUGGCGUUGACCGAUCAAAAUCCGAAGCAUCUCUGCGUUGACCGGAUGCCAGAAAAUUCGGUGGCUCUUUGAUUAAAUUGCAGAUUGCGUUUGGAAAAGCAUGCCGCCGCUUCUGAGAGAGAGAGGUUGAAAUCUCAGCUUGCUAGUUUGGGAGGAAGACGGAGGAGCUGCGGACGGAGGACUCUCAAUCAGUCAAAGUCGCAGCCCACCACGUCAGAAGUUUCGUUUCUUCUUUUGUUUAUAUUUAUUUUUGACUUCUU
Molecule: long non-coding RNA, 380 nt
Organism: Pyrus x bretschneideri (Chinese white pear)
Lineage: Eukaryota; Viridiplantae; Streptophyta; Magnoliopsida; Rosales; Rosaceae
Exons: 3
Source: RefSeq, a predicted model, not a curated record